Molecule: ribosomal RNA, 468 nt
Filed under: uncultured bacterium
Lineage: Bacteria
Description: partial 16S ribosomal RNA
Rfam family: Bacterial small subunit ribosomal RNA
Source: RNAcentral
GACGAACGCUGGCGGCGUGCUUAACACAUGCAAGUCGAACGGAAAGGCCCUGCUUUUGUGGGGUGCUCGAGUGGCGAACGGGUGAGUAACACGUGAGUAACCUGCCCUUGACUUUGGGAUAACUUCAGGAAACUGGGGCUAAUACCGGAUAGGAGCUCCUGCUGCAUGGUGGGGGUUGGAAAGUUUCGGCGGUUGGGGAUGGACUCGCGGCUUAUCAGCUUGUUGGUGGGGUAGUGGCUUACCAAGGCUUUGACGGGUAGCCGGCCUGAGAGGGUAACCGGCCACAUUGGGACUGAGAUACGGCCCAGACUCCUACGGGAGGCAGCAGUGGGGAAUAUUGCACAAUGGGCGGAAGCCUGAUGCAGCAACGCCGCGUGCGGGAUGACGGCCUUCGGGUUGUAAACCGCUUUCGCCUGUGACGAAGCGUGAGUGACGGUAAUGGGUAAAGAAGCACCGGCUAGCUACGUG